RNAcentral lists this ribosomal RNA (541 nucleotides) under Bifidobacterium adolescentis. RNAcentral describes it as "partial 16S ribosomal RNA". It matches the Rfam family "Bacterial small subunit ribosomal RNA", at positions 157 to 709 of the family's 1533-position model. The record is from RNAcentral. Lineage: Bacteria; Bacillati; Actinomycetota; Actinomycetes; Bifidobacteriales; Bifidobacteriaceae.
CGGGUGGUAAUGCCGGAUGCUCCAGUUGACCGCAUGGUCCUCUGGGAAAGCUUUUGCGGUAUGGGAUGGGGUCGCGUCCUAUCAGCUUGAUGGCGGGGUAACGGCCCACCAUGGCUUCGACGGGUAGCCGGCCUGAGAGGGCGACCGGCCACAUUGGGACUGAGAUACGGCCCAGACUCCUACGGGAGGCAGCAGUGGGGAAUAUUGCACAAUGGGCGCAAGCCUGAUGCAGCGACGCCGCGUGCGGGAUGACGGCCUUCGGGUUGUAAACCGCUUUUGACUGGGAGCAAGCCCUUCGGGGUGAGUGUACCUUUCGAAUAAGCACCGGCUAACUACGUGCCAGCAGCCGCGGUAAUACGUAGGGUGCAAGCGUUAUCCGGAAUUAUUGGGCGUAAAGGGCUCGUAGGCGGUUCGUCGCGUCCGGUGUGAAAGUCCAUCGCUUAACGGUGGAUCCGCGCCGGGUACGGGCGGGCUUGAGUGCGGUAGGGGAGACUGGAAUUCCCGGUGUAACGGUGGAAUGUGUAGAUAUCGGAAAAAAAAC